AUACGGAGGGUGCAAGCGUUAUUCGGAAUCACUGGGCGUAAAGGACGCGUAGGCGGGUUGGCAAGUCAGAUGUGAAAUCCUACAGCUUAACUGUAGAACUGCAUUUGAAACUGCUAACCUAGAGUAUGGGAGGGGGAGAUGGAAUUAGUGGUGUAGAGGUAAAAUCCGUAGAUAUCACUAGGAAUACCGAAAGCGAAGGCGAUCUCCUGGAACAUAACUGACGCUAAGGCGUGAAAGCGUGGGGAGCAAACAGGAUUAGAAACCCUAGUAGUCC
RNAcentral lists this ribosomal RNA (274 nucleotides) under uncultured bacterium. Its description in RNAcentral is "partial 16S ribosomal RNA". It matches the Rfam family "Bacterial small subunit ribosomal RNA", at positions 523 to 796 of the family's 1533-position model. The record is from RNAcentral.